AAUUUAAGGGUUCUCCGAGUCCACCAGCCUGUGGCGAUUUUCCGCUAUGGUGGUCGGACCGAUAGGGUGUGCUGGGAAACCGGCACGCCUCCCAGUGCGGAAAGGAGAAUUCGGCUCUCGACC
Molecule: non-coding RNA, 123 nt
Filed under: Thermoanaerobacterales bacterium
Lineage: Bacteria; Bacillati; Bacillota; Clostridia; Thermoanaerobacterales
Description: MoCo sequence
Rfam family: Molybdenum/Tungsten riboswitch aptamer (Moco RNA motif)
Source: RNAcentral